Long non-coding RNA from Helianthus annuus (common sunflower), 634 nucleotides. RefSeq lists it as uncharacterized. Lineage: Eukaryota; Viridiplantae; Streptophyta; Magnoliopsida; Asterales; Asteraceae. The transcript has 2 exons. The record is from RefSeq and is a predicted model, not a curated record.
UUUGAAAGGGAACCUUAUAAACAAAGUUAUGGAUUAGUCUGGCGGUAAUUAUGCACGCUGCCUAACGUAGAGAUCCUGAGUUCGAGUCGGGUAAGUACCUUUUUUCUCGUUUUUUUUAAACUAAAAAAACAUUAGGGUUUAGUUUUCCCCUUUUCUGUUUACCCUCAAACCCAAACAUGAACAGAACACACACUAAACACAGCGACCGCUCCAAAUCAGUCCUACCACUCAUCCAAUCGUCACAAAAGCACUUGCCGGAGCCACUCCAGCCUCAACGGCUCAGUCACGUAGCCCCUCCGGCCUUCUCUCAGUCCCUCACUUACUCACUCUCUUCGGCCCUUCACUCCUCCAGGUGAGACAUGAGGUCAGACAUAUCAUACAAAGAAGAUCUACUGGAGUUUGAUGAAGAAGCAUCAUCUGUUGUGUCAAAUGAACAAGAGGAAGAACAUGUUGUUGUUGUUGAUGAUGAUAGAUUUGAGAUUGUUGAAGCUUCUUCAAUAGAGGAACAUGGAUCUUGUUCAUGUUCAUGAGGAUGAUGAUGAAAGUUUUGGUUAUUUAGUUUAUCCAUUAUCAUUGGAUGGUAUGAAAAUAAUAAGUGUUUGAGAAACACAAAUCAAAGAUAGGAUUGUAACCA